UACAACAAAGGUGAUUUUAUUGGAUUAACAAGAAAACAUCAAAUAUACACUUCAUUACAGUUCAGUUAAGAUUAAAAGCCACUACAUUAUUUAAAAUAUUUAGUUUCAACAAGGCUUAGUGACUUUAAGUCCAUAAUAUGCACAAAGUGGUCAUUAAACAAAGCAUGCAGUAGAUAUUCAGACAUUUAGAAAAUGGCGGCUAACAUGAAACACAUGCUCUUGAGAAAAACUCCUGAAUGAGAAUCAGUGCCAGCAGAAAAUGCUGUAGUCACUGGCAGGAUCUAAAACUCCUUUGGCGUCAACAGAGUAAACUGAAUUAUAUAAAUAAAAAACAGACAAAUGUGAAAUGUGAAAAACUGGAACUAAAAAAAGAAGAACUGGAGAAUGAGAAAUGAUCACGUGAAUACAGUUGUUUUGUGCUAUCAUAUGUAGAAAAUAUUGACACAUAUUAAUAGUUAUAUUAUAUAAAUAUAGCUAAUGAAUAAUGUUACAUUUAAAUACACUACAGUCUACAUUUAGUAUUUUUUAAAAGACAUUUUCUUUUAAACUCAAACAAAAAUCAAGGGAUAAAUUCAGGUUUAGAAAGCACGGUUAACUCUGACCUAAAAUAAUAAUGAACAAAAAGACUGGCACUGCUCUGACAUCUGCGAGUUAAGUAAAAGUCAGUUAGCUUAGCUUAGCACAAAGACUGGGAGUCUAGCUACACAACACUGCAUAAGAAUCACAAAGUGUUGAUUUUUUUAAUUGGUUAUUUUUUUACAUUAAACAAAUGUAUUAGGUUUAAAGGUGCUCACAGAUUACUUGUGGACAAUCUUAGAAGCUAUUUCCACUAGUUCACAAUGUCAGGCUAAGCUAACAAGCUACUGGUUAAUGCUUCUCUGUUAAAACAGAUGAAAGUGGUGUCAAUCUUUCUUUGUAACUCUCUGGAAAGUGAAUAAGUCUCCAAAAAGUCAAAUCGUUCUUUUGAUUUUUGACCAUAAGAAGAAACGUCAUAGUAUCUGGCUUUUAUUAUGAUGCCACCCAGAGUGCAGAUACCCC
This is a long non-coding RNA of Astatotilapia calliptera (eastern happy), 1038 nucleotides long. The record is from Ensembl. NCBI's taxonomy places the organism in Eukaryota, Metazoa, Chordata, Actinopteri, Cichliformes, Cichlidae.